CCUACGGGAGGCAGCAGUGGGGGAUAUUGCACAAUGGGGGAAACCCUGAUGCAGCGACGCCGCGUGGGUGAAGAAGUAUUUCGGUAUGUAAAGCCCUAUCAGCAGGGAAGAAAGAAGACGGUACCUGACUAAGAAGCCCCGGCUAACUACGUGCCAGCAGCCGCGGUAAUACGUAGGGGGCGAGCGUUAUCCGGAUUCACUGGGUGUAAAGGGAGCGUAGACGGCCGUGCAAGCCAGGAGUGAAAGCCCGGGGCCCAACCCCGGGACUGCUCUUGGAACUGUGCGGCUGGAGUGCGGGAGGGGCAGGCGGAAGUCCUGGUGUAGCGGUGAAAUGCGUAGAUAUCAGGAGGAACACCGGCGGCGAAGGCGGCCUGCUGGACCGCGACUGACGUUGAGGCUCGAAAGCGUGGGGAGCGAACAGGAUUAGAUACCCGGGUAGUC
RNAcentral lists this ribosomal RNA (441 nucleotides) under uncultured bacterium. RNAcentral describes it as "partial 16S ribosomal RNA". It matches the Rfam family "Bacterial small subunit ribosomal RNA", at positions 338 to 795 of the family's 1533-position model. The record is from RNAcentral.